Molecule: ribosomal RNA, 97 nt
Filed under: uncultured bacterium
Lineage: Bacteria
Description: partial 16S ribosomal RNA
Rfam family: Bacterial small subunit ribosomal RNA
Source: RNAcentral
CACACCGCCCGUCACAGCAUGGGAGUGGGUUGCACCAGAAGUAGAUAGGUUAACCGCAAGGGGGCCGUUUACCACGGUGUGAUUCAUGACUGGGCUG